AACGAACGCUGGCGGCAGGCCUAACACAUGCAAGUCGAGCGCUACCUUCGGGUGGAGCGGCGGACGGGUUAGUAACGCGUGGGAAUAUGCCCUUCUCUACGGAAUAGCCUCGGGAAACUGAGAGUAAUACCGUAUACGCCCUACGGGGGAAAGAUUUAUCGGAGAAGGAUUAGCCCGCGUUGGAUUAGGUAGUUGGUGGGGUAAUGGCCUACCAAGCCUACGAUCCAUAGCUGGUUUGAGAGGAUGAUCAGCAACACUGGGACUGAGACACGGCCCAGACUCCUACGGGAGGCAGCAGUGGGGAAUCUUAGACAAUGGGCGCAAGCCUGAUCUAGCCAUGCCGCGUGAGUGAUGAAGGCCUUAGGGUCGUAAAGCUCUUUCGCUAGGGAAGAUAAUGACGGUACCUAGUAAAGAAGUCCCGGCUAACUCCGUGCCAGCGGCCGCGGUAAUACGGAGGGGACUAGCGUUGUUCGGAAUUACUGGGCGUAAAGCGUACGUAGGCGGAUUGGAAAGUAUGGGGUGAAAUCCCAGGGCUCAACCCUGGAACUGCCUCAUAAACUAUCAGUCUAGAGUUCGAGAGAGGUGAGUGGAAUUCCGAGUGUAGAGGUGAAAUUCGUAGAUAUUCGGAGGAACACCAGUGGCGAAGGCGGCUCACUGGCUCGAUACUGACGCUGAGGUACGAAAGUGUGGGGAGCAAACAGGAUUAGAUACCCUGGUAGUCCACACCGUAAACGAUGAAUGCCAGACGUCGGGUAGCAUGCUAUUCGGUGUCACACCUAACGGAUUAAGCAUUCCGCCUGGGGAGUACGGUCGCAAGAUUA
Molecule: ribosomal RNA, 821 nt
Filed under: uncultured bacterium
Lineage: Bacteria
Description: bacterial SSU rRNA
Rfam family: Bacterial small subunit ribosomal RNA
Source: RNAcentral